ACCACUUCUUGGCUCCUUGGAGCUAAGAUCAAAGUGUAGUGUCUGUUCUUAUCAGUUUAAUAUCUGAUAUGUCCUUUAUUUGAGGACUGUGUAUUAAAUUGAUUUUUGAAACCAGGGAUGGAAUAGGAGCAUGCAUUGACCUGGUAUUGCAGUGCCUUCAGGAAUAGUGGAGGGGAG
This is a small nuclear RNA of Chelonoidis abingdonii (Abingdon island giant tortoise), 177 nucleotides long. Its record names the gene U2. It matches the Rfam family "U2 spliceosomal RNA". Rfam says of the family: U2 is a small nuclear RNA (snRNA) component of the spliceosome (involved in pre-mRNA splicing). Complementary binding between U2 snRNA (in an area lying towards the 5' end but 3' to hairpin I) and the branchpoint sequence (BPS) of the intron results the bulging out of an unpaired adenosine, on the BPS, which initiates a nucleophilic attack at the intronic 5' splice site, thus starting the first of two transesterification reactions that mediate splicing. The record is from Ensembl. Lineage: Eukaryota; Metazoa; Chordata; Testudines; Testudinidae.